GAGGCGCGCCUUUAAUAACUAUGGGUGGAGGUCACAAACUAAUGAGUGAAAUAUCUGAAAAGUUUGUAUAAAGGGGUUUAUAUGGAUUUAACAGCUAUAUAUUAUAGAAUAAGUGAUAAAAGGAAGAAUAAUGAAUUUCACACUUUAGGGAUCGUCAUUGGCAUGAUUAAGACUCAAAAACUAGAUGGACAAACUCUUGGUUGAGUGUUUUAUGGCUGUUUUAUAGUUGUAUAUAUCUGCAUUGUAAUGAUGUCACACACAGUAUAGGAAAAAAGUUUAGGCAAAAUUUAAUUGAUCAAUAAGGUCUUAUACAUAUCUGCAUCCUAGUAAUGUCAGGGUACUAUAACCUAGUCACAUGGGAGGUGAGAUGCAUGGGAGGUGAGAUGCACAAUUAAUAAAAGGAGGAAGUAUAAAAAAAUAUAAUGUGAUUUCCGUUUCGACAUUGGGGCCUAUAGUUCAACUUUUGGCAUUUUAUUGCCUUGCGGUUUACUGUUAGCAAUUUUAGGUCAAAUCCUCUCAAUACUGUUAAUUUUUGUUGAUGUGGCGAUGUUAAAUUCAUAAAAUAAUAUUUUUAAUUAUUAUGGGUCUUUCUUCAAAUUAAAAUUAAUUUAUUAAUUUAUGUUCAAAACAAAAAUGAAUUGUGAUUAAAAAAAUAUAACAGAAUUUUUAACAAAAUUAAAAAACAAAUUAAAAAUUGAUAAUAAAAGCAAAAAAGUAAAAUAUUAAAAUCUAAAGUAAAACUGUUAGCAUCUUCUUCUUCAAUUCUCAAUGGCCAUCCCAAUGCCCCAUGCCUGAGAAAAAUUCAUAAAAGCCUAGAAAGACAUUAAUUGACCCAGAUUUCCAUAGUAAGUGGGAACAAUUUAAUUUUAAAAUGAAAAGCAUGAAUGUUUAGAACUAUAAGAAACCAGAAGCAUAUUUAACAAAUAAAUAAAUGCAUGGAUCUGAUGAUCAAGUUAUUGCCACAUUUCAAUCUAGCAAAAUCAAAUGAAUGGAAAAAUUCUUUCAAAAGAGAAGGAAAGAACAAAAAAACUCAAUAGGUUCAAUAGGGUAAUUGUUGUAACUUCCAGGAAUAUAAAUUUCCAUCCAAGAAUGCCAAGUAAUGAAUCAACUCUUUUUGGCAGCAAUCUCAACUUAUCAGCAACCAAAAUUUAAAAAGUUUUUUCAAUGCAACUGGGAAAAAAAAAUCCAGAUAGAUUAGGCAAGCAAAAUCGAACCUUUCCACUGAAGUAGAUCUUCUCUAUAGUGGCAGAAACAUGAAUCUCUCCCCUUCUAAUUGCGUGUGUGUAGAAGUUUUUGUUGCUUGCUCGGCUUGGCUUUAAUGGUUUAUGUGCCAAGAGCUGUAUUUGGGAAUAUGCUAGGUUGGGAUCAUAGUUACCAUAUUCGCUCAAACCCCCUAGGAACUGCGAUCUGGUUCGUGAGUUCUGAAUCGCGAGUCAUCUGCAUUCCAAAACGCUAGGGGACGCGAUUUGGUUCUCCAAAAUGGAGGUUCCAACGAUAAUAAAAAGAAGAAAGGAAAGAAGAGAGAAAGAAAGAAGAAAAAUCAUAAGGCAUGCACAUGUGUAAGCAAUAGGCACAAGAAGAAGAAGAAGAAGAUAAGGUUAUUGUUAAUCAGAAAGAAAGGCCAACAAGAUUGAAUCUUAUCACAACCAGAGUUCGUUCACAUUCUUCAUCGCCAUCAACUGAGAAACGUAGACCCAAAAAUAUCAGAAAUUCAUGUUCAUCAAGGAAGCUGCAGAAAUACAUGAGCUGCAGGAGCUUGGGAGAAUUAGAACUGGAAGAAUUGAAAGGCUUUAUGGAUCUUGGAUUUAUAUUCAAGAAAGAGAACAUAAGCCCAAGAAUGAUAAGUGUAGUCCCUGGUUUGCUGAGACUAGGAUUAUACAAAAAUAAAUACAACACCAAACUCAUUACCAGCGAAGUACCUGAAGAUGAUGAUGAUAUACAGAGAGAAAGAGACAAGCAGGAAGAAGAGAAGGGGGUCAUUAGGCCAUACUUAUCAGAGGCCUGGCUAAUAAAAAGACCCGAUUCGCCGCUAUUAAAUCUAAGGUUGCCAAGAGUAUCCGCAGCUGUUGACAUGAAAAAACACCUCAAGUUCUGGGCUAGAACUGUUGCAUCUGUAAUUCAACAAGAAUCUUGAGAGGAAUUGAUGUCGAGAAGAUAUGAUAGAAGAUAUAUUCUCUUCAUUCUACUAAACAAUAGCUGAAAGAAGAAAGAUGAAAAACCAAAUCUCGAUCACAGAUUCUAGUCCAUCGAAAGCUCCAACUGUAAAAAAGAAAGAGAGAGCUUGUAAUAUGUAAAUAAAGAGCGGUGUAUACAAAUAAAGGAGUGGUGAAAUGUACUUUUGUUUGCUUUUGGUUAAUGUGUUAAACUCAUAUAAAGAUAAACGAAAUAAGCUAGAGGAAGAUGAGAUGAACAAUUACAGUAUAAGAGGUGUGUCCUACCAUGCAUGAUGAGGUUGAGAAAGAACAAUGAGAAGAUUCUUUUCUUAGCAUCAGGCAAAAGACCCCUCAAUGCCUUGGUAUAAUUUGUCCCUAUCUAUACAUAUAGAUUUGUUAUAUAUAGAGACAUACAUGGAGUCAUUUUUCCUAACAUUGUUAAAUUCAUUUGACAUUUAAUACCUAGGAUGCUGGACCUGAAACAACUUUGGAGACAUGUAAUGAUAAUUUACAGUAUGGGUCCCAAUUAAUGCACAACUACAGG
This 2697-nucleotide unclassified non-coding RNA is filed under the name Hevea brasiliensis (rubber tree). Lineage: Eukaryota; Viridiplantae; Streptophyta; Magnoliopsida; Malpighiales; Euphorbiaceae. The record is from RNAcentral.